GCAGUCCGCUUGCUCGGCCGCAGCGCCUUGCCUUAGUUCUACAGACAGUUCUAGAUGCUUUUAUGCAACAAUUGAUAUUAAAGUACAGAAACAUCAACCUGACAACAAAGACAUCUACCAAGUGGCAUACUUUCAGAGACAGAAGACUUGCCUGCUAAAACCUGGAAAAUUGUGUGCAACAUCUCCACCUGCUGGCAUCUCCAAUUUAAAAACAAUUGUACAGAGCUUUUAUCAUGAUUCCUUAAAAAAAUCUUACCUAAGAAGUACAUCGAAUAUAACUUACUUCAUGUAAGAUGUAAU
Molecule: long non-coding RNA, 300 nt
Filed under: Naja naja (Indian cobra)
Lineage: Eukaryota; Metazoa; Chordata; Lepidosauria; Squamata; Elapidae
Description: lncRNA (ENSNNAG00000012802.1)
Source: RNAcentral